This 119-nucleotide ribosomal RNA is filed under the name Pteropus alecto (black flying fox). Lineage: Eukaryota; Metazoa; Chordata; Mammalia; Chiroptera; Pteropodidae. The record is from RNAcentral.
GUCUAUGGCCAUGCCACCCUGAACAAGGUGGACCCCAUCUGAUCUUGGAAGCUAAGCAGGGUCAGGCUUGGUUAGUACUUUGAUGGGAGACCACCUAGGAAGACCAGGUGCUGCAGGCG